AUGGGUGAUGUUGAGAAAGGCAAGAAGAUUUUUGUUCAGAAGUGCAGCCAGUGCCACACUGUGUAAAAGGGAGGCAAGCACAAGACUGGGCCUAACCUCCACGGUCUCUCUGGGCAGAAGAUACGUCAGGCCAUUGGAUUCUCUUAUACUGACGCCAAUGAGAACAAAGGAAUCACUUGGGGAGAGGAUGGAGUAUUUGGAGAAUUCCAAGAAGUAUAUCCCUGGAACAAAAAUGAUCUUUGCCAGCAUUAGGAAGAAGGCAAAAAGAGCAGACUUGAUAGCUUAUCUCAAAAAAGCGACUAAUGAAUAAUAAUUGGCCACUGCCUUAUUUAUUACAACAAAUGUCUCAUGACUUUUCAAUGUGUAUCAUACUCUAAUAGAUUUUGUACACUGGAAUUCAGAUCAUGAAUGACUGACAGAAUAUUUUAUUGGGCAGUCCUGAUUUAAAAUGAAGACUGGCUUGUGGUUAAAGGAAUAUGUUCAGUUUUUGAAUUUUAAUAGUAAUUCCCAUUCAGUAAAUGCAAUCACUGUUUACCCCUUCCAAAGAUAUGAUUAGACUUUGUUAGUAAUGUUCAGCUUUUCACAAAGAUGGUGAGUGCCAUCUUAAAAUGUACUAGAGAUUGGUUUUAUAUCUAGAUUUAUUUAACUGGUUAUGUGAAUAUAUUUAAAUACUGGGGAAAUUCCUUCACUGUCUCAGAACCAAGCAAGAUUCACCUGUGUUUUGUGUUCAGUUGCCUUUUAAAGGCAAGGGUUGAAGAUAAAUAAGGUAGCAAUGUCUAUUUUUUGUAUUUUUGGCCUUAAUUAUGCCAAUCUAAUUAGAAUUAUCUGUGUUUAAAAUGGUUCCUUUUACUUAUUGAAAGGCACUCUAGUGUGGUUUAUGUGUAAUAUCAAAGAUUAUUUAACACCUCUCA
RNA transcript from Sapajus apella (tufted capuchin), 911 nucleotides. It is a transcript of the gene named cytochrome c-like, with no coding region annotated. The transcript has a single exon. NCBI's taxonomy places the organism in Eukaryota, Metazoa, Chordata, Mammalia, Primates, Cebidae. The record is from RefSeq and is a predicted model, not a curated record.